Molecule: unclassified non-coding RNA, 200 nt
Filed under: Tomentella sp.
Lineage: Eukaryota; Fungi; Basidiomycota; Agaricomycetes; Thelephorales; Thelephoraceae
Description: partial internal transcribed spacer 2
Source: RNAcentral
UUAAGUUCAGCGGGUAGUCCUACCUGAUUUGAGAUCAAACGUUCAAAAAGCUGUCCUCACCGAGGAGAGACAUUUAUGAGCCCCAGCGAACCUUUGUCGCAGAAGGUUACCUGGUGGAAAACCACAAGCGUAGAUAGUUAUCACACCCAUGAUACCACACCAAACACUGGCAAGCUAAUUCAUUUGAGAGGAGCUGACCC